UCGAACUAUAGAGUUUGAUCCUGGCUCAGAUUGAACGCUGGCGGCAUGCUUUACACAUGCAAGUCGAACGGUAACAGGUCUUCGGAUGCUGACGAGUGGCGAACGGGUGAGUAAUACAUCGGAACGUGCCUAGUAGUGGGGGAUAACUACUCGAAAGAGUAGCUAAUACCGCAUGA
Molecule: ribosomal RNA, 176 nt
Filed under: Comamonas thiooxydans
Lineage: Bacteria; Pseudomonadati; Pseudomonadota; Betaproteobacteria; Burkholderiales; Comamonadaceae
Description: 16S rRNA. Bacterial SSU
Rfam family: Bacterial small subunit ribosomal RNA
Source: RNAcentral